RNAcentral lists this ribosomal RNA (253 nucleotides) under uncultured bacterium. RNAcentral's name for it is "partial 16S ribosomal RNA". It matches the Rfam family "Bacterial small subunit ribosomal RNA", at positions 524 to 776 of the family's 1533-position model. The record is from RNAcentral.
UACAGAGGGGGCAAGCGUUGUCCGGACUUACUGGGUGUAAAGCGCAUGCAGGUGGCUGUGCAAGUAUGCUGUGAAAGCCCCGUGCUUAACACGGGGAGGCCAGUAUAGACUGCACGGCUCGAGGACUGCAGAGGGUAGGGGAAUUGCUGGUGUAGUGGUGAAAUGCGUAGAUAUCUGGAGGAACACCGGUGGCGAAGGCGGCAUCCUGGACCGGUAUUGACGCUGAGGCGCGAAAGCUAGGGGAGCAAACGGG